GUACCCUGAGGUGGUACAACGUCUGAGCCAAUGAUUUUCGGCGACGUUGAUGAUGAUUUUUGGCGAUGUCGACGAUGAUUUCUGGUGACGGCUGAUGUUUCAAUUUUUUACGGAACAUUUAGCGUCAUCUUCUUGGGAAAAUUGUAUGUUUUCAAGCAACCAAAGUGGUAUUUAAUGAGUUUUUGUUAGUGUUUCAGGG
RNAcentral lists this long non-coding RNA (199 nucleotides) under Capsicum annuum. RNAcentral describes it as "long non-coding RNA (CANN_LNC006240)". The record is from RNAcentral. Lineage: Eukaryota; Viridiplantae; Streptophyta; Magnoliopsida; Solanales; Solanaceae.